This 405-nucleotide ribosomal RNA is filed under the name uncultured bacterium. RNAcentral's name for it is "partial 16S ribosomal RNA". It matches the Rfam family "Bacterial small subunit ribosomal RNA", at positions 28 to 526 of the family's 1533-position model. The record is from RNAcentral.
GAUGAACGCUGACAGAAUGCUUAACACAUGCAAGUCGACCGGUGGCGGACGGGUGAGUAACGCGUAAAGAACUUGCCUCACAGAUAGAGACUACAUUUGGAAACGAAAGCUAAUACGUGAUACUGUGGGAGGGCUUUGCGUCCCAUUAGCUCGUUGGGGAGGUAACGGCUCACGAAGGCGAGGAUGGGUAGCCGGACUGAGAGGGUGAUCGGCCACAAGGGGACUGGGACACGGCCCGUACUCAUACGUGAGGCAGGAGUGGAGAAUAGUGGACGAUGUGCCAAAGUCUGAUCCAGCAAUUCUGUGUGCACAAUGAAGUUGUCGGAAGGUAAGUGGCGUUCAGUAGAAAAGCGGUACCCACAGAAGAAGUAACGGCUAACUCCGUGCCAGCAGCCGCGGUAAUAC